RNAcentral lists this ribosomal RNA (587 nucleotides) under uncultured bacterium. RNAcentral's name for it is "partial 16S ribosomal RNA". It matches the Rfam family "Bacterial small subunit ribosomal RNA", at positions 355 to 1375 of the family's 1533-position model. The record is from RNAcentral.
UGGGGAAUUUUGGACAAUGGGCGAAAGCCUGAUCCAGCAAUGCCGCGUGUGUGAAGAAGGCCUUCGGGUUGUAAAGCACUUUUGUCCGGAAAGAAAUCCUUGGCUCUAAUACAGUCGGGGGAUGACGGUACCGGAAGAAUAAGCACCGGCUAACUACGUGCCAGCAGCCGCGGUAAUACGUAGGGUGCAAGCGUUAAUCGGAAUUACUGGGCGUAAAGCGUGCGCAGGCGGUUUGCUAAGACCGAUGUGAAAUCCCCGGGCUCAACCUGGGAACUGCAUUGGUGACUGGCAGGCUAGAGUAUGGCAGAGGGGGGUUAGAAUUCCACGUGUAGCAGUGAAAUGCGUAGAGAUGUGGAGGAAUACCGAUGGCGAAGGCAGCCCCCUGGGCCAAUACUGACGCUCAUGCACGAAAGCGUGGGGAGCAAACAGGAUUAGAUACCCUGGUAGUCCACGCCCUAAAACGAUGUCAACUAGUUGUUGGGGAUUCAUUUCCUUAGUAACGUAGCUAACGCGUGAAGUUGACCGCCUGGGGAGUACGGUCGCAAGAUUAAAACUCAAAUGAAUUGACGGGGUCAUAGCUGUUUCCU